RNAcentral lists this ribosomal RNA (1020 nucleotides) under Janthinobacterium lividum. Its description in RNAcentral is "bacterial SSU rRNA". It matches the Rfam family "Bacterial small subunit ribosomal RNA", at positions 34 to 1048 of the family's 1533-position model. The record is from RNAcentral. Lineage: Bacteria; Pseudomonadati; Pseudomonadota; Betaproteobacteria; Burkholderiales; Oxalobacteraceae.
CGCUGGCGGCAUGCCUUACACAUGCAAGUCGAACGGCAGCACGGAGCUUGCUCUGGUGGCGAGUGGCGAACGGGUGAGUAAUAUAUCGGAACGUACCCUAGAGUGGGGGAUAACGUAGCGAAAGUUACGCUAAUACCGCAUACGAUCUAAGGAUGAAAGUGGGGGAUCGCAAGACCUCAUGCUCGUGGAGCGGCCGAUAUCUGAUUAGCUAGUUGGUAGGGUAAAAGCCUACCAAGGCAUCGAUCAGUAGCUGGUCUGAGAGGACGACCAGCCACACUGGAACUGAGACACGGUCCAGACUCCUACGGGAGGCAGCAGUGGGGAAUUUUGGACAAUGGGCGAAAGCCUGAUCCAGCAAUGCCGCGUGAGUGAAGAAGGCCUUCGGGUUGUAAAGCUCUUUUGUCAGGGAAGAAACGGUGAGAGCUAAUAUCUCUUGCUAAUGACGGUACCUGAAGAAUAAGCACCGGCUAACUACGUGCCAGCAGCCGCGGUAAUACGUAGGGUGCAAGCGUUAAUCGGAAUUACUGGGCGUAAAGCGUGCGCAGGCGGUUUUGUAAGUCUGAUGUGAAAUCCCCGGGCUCAACCUGGGAAUUGCAUUGGAGACUGCAAGGCUAGAAUCUGGCAGAGGGGGGUAGAAUUCCACGUGUAGCAGUGAAAUGCGUAGAUAUGUGGAGGAACACCGAUGGCGAAGGCAGCCCCCUGGGUCAAGAUUGACGCUCAUGCACGAAAGCGUGGGGAGCAAACAGGAUUAGAUACCCUGGUAGUCCACGCCCUAAACGAUGUCUACUAGUUGUCGGGUCUUAAUUGACUUGGUAACGCAGCUAACGCGUGAAGUAGACCGCCUGGGGAGUACGGUCGCAAGAUUAAAACUCAAAGGAAUUGACGGGGACCCGCACAAGCGGUGGAUGAUGUGGAUUAAUUCGAUGCAACGCGAAAAACCUUACCUACCCUUGACAUGGCUGGAAUCCCCGAGAGAUUGGGGAGUGCUCGAAAGAGAACCAGUACACAGGUGCUGCAUGG